This 753-nucleotide ribosomal RNA is filed under the name uncultured bacterium. RNAcentral's name for it is "bacterial SSU rRNA". It matches the Rfam family "Bacterial small subunit ribosomal RNA", at positions 8 to 748 of the family's 1533-position model. The record is from RNAcentral.
AGAGUUUGAUCCUGGCUCAGAUUGAACGCUGGCGGCAGGCCUAACACAUGCAAGUCGAGCGGCAGCGGGAAAGUAGCUUGCUACUUUUGCCGGCGAGCGGCGGACGGGUGAGUAAUGCCUGGGAAAUUGCCCAGUCGAGGGGGAUAACUACUGGAAACGGUAGCUAAUACCGCAUACGCCCUACGGGGGAAAGCAGGGGACCUUCGGGCCUUGCGCGAUUGGAUAUGCCCAGGUGGGAUUAGCUGGUUGGUGAGGUAAUGGCUCACCAAGGCGACGAUCCCUAGCUGGUCUGAGAGGAUGAUCAGUCACACUGGAACUGAGACACGGUCCAGACUCCUACGGGAGGCAGCAGUGGGGAAUAUUGCACAAUGGGGGAAACCCUGAUGCAGCCAUGCCGCGUGUGUGAAGAAGGCCUUCGGGUUGUAAAGCACUUUCAGCGAGGAGGAAAGGUGGUUGGCUAAUACCCAACAGCUGUGACGUUACUCGCAGAAGAAGCACCGGCUAACUCCGUGCCAGCAGCCGCGGUAAUACGGAGGGUGCAAGCGUUAAUCGGAAUUACUGGGCGUAAAGCGCACGCAGGCGGUUGGAUAAGUUAGAUGUGAAAGCCCCGGGCUCAACCUGGGAAUUGCAUUUAAAACUGUCCAGCUAGAGUCUUGUAGAGGGGGGUAGAAUUCCAGGUGUAGCGGUGAAAUGCGUAGAGAUCUGGAGGAAUACCGGUGGCGAAGGCGGCCCCCUGGACAAAGACUGACGCUC